RNAcentral lists this long non-coding RNA (372 nucleotides) under Rattus norvegicus (Norway rat). RNAcentral describes it as "long non-coding RNA NONRATT016735". Lineage: Eukaryota; Metazoa; Chordata; Mammalia; Rodentia; Muridae. The record is from RNAcentral.
AUCAUUGUGCCUCCUUUAAAAACACAGCUUGGCGACUGUACUGGAGCAACACAGGCCUCAGGUCUCCUUAGCAGUAGUAAGACCAAGCCAGUGGCCUCAGUGAGUGGGCAGUCAUCUGGAUGCUGUAUCACUCCCACAGGGUACCGAGCUCAACGAGGGGGAGCCAGCGCGGUGCAGCCACUCAACCUUAGCCAGCAAUUUUGGACGUUGGAAGAGCUCAGAAGCCCGUCUUCUGCAGUUACGGAGGAAGAAAGGUCGCUCUGAAGUCACCUGUCAUACAUUUGGUCUCGUUGACCUGGUUUUUAUAAAUGUUUUCAGAAGAAGUAAAGCCCUUUAUGAGGGAAAAUGCUGAUAAAAGAUUUGAAAUCUUGU